CCCCUCUCAGGGUCGCACCUGGAGAGUUUCCAGUAUUCUACCAGUCUUGGCCUGGGGAGGGAGAGUUCAGCAGAGGUGUACCCAUUCCAUUCCUAGCUUGGGCAGUGGCUAGGAAGUGGAAGGCAAUCUGCUAAAAGU
Tachyglossus aculeatus (Australian echidna) is the source of this 138-nucleotide small nucleolar RNA. NCBI's taxonomy places the organism in Eukaryota, Metazoa, Chordata, Mammalia, Monotremata, Tachyglossidae. The record is from RefSeq and is a predicted model, not a curated record.